Malus domestica (apple) is the source of this 2634-nucleotide non-coding RNA. NCBI's taxonomy places the organism in Eukaryota, Viridiplantae, Streptophyta, Magnoliopsida, Rosales, Rosaceae. The record is from RefSeq and is a predicted model, not a curated record.
AUUCAUGCUUUUUGUGUUGAUUAUUUUUCAAUUGUAUUGUUUUUCUGUUUGAUAGCAAUGAAAAGAGAAAACCUAAGAGCAGUUCCAUUGGGGAACUGAUAGGCUGGCACCCAGCCAAAAUAAUGGCCCGGCACCCGGGUUUUUCACUCUAGCCCAGUAGAUAGGCUGGCACCCAGCCCAAGCUGGUCUCCAGGCCAGCCCAAAAUCAACUGAGCAAUCAGACGGCUCAAUUGACGUCAUCUCACACUUACACCCUCAACCUCUUCGCUGCACCAACCUUAUCGCCCACUACGCCCCUCUGGGCUCCCCCUCUCACGCUUACACCAUUUUCUCCACCAUCUCCUCCGCCUCCGAUGUCUUCCUCUGGAAUGUCAUGAUCAGAGGCUUCGUCGACAAUGGGCUGUAUAACAAAGCUAUUGCUCUGUACAGUGGUGUCAGACCUGAUCAUUUUACUUUCCCUUUUGUGAUUAAGGCUUGUGGGUUUGCUCGUGAUUGGAGAUUGGGUAAGAAGGUUCAUGGAGAUGUGAUUGAAUGUAGGUAUGCAUUAGAUGUGUUUGUAGGUAAUUCACUUAUUGGAUUGUAUGGGAAAUUUGGGCAGGUUGAAACUGCACGGUAGGGGUGGAAAUUUGGGCAGGUAAUUCACCUAAAGCGCACCCAUCCCCACCCUGAACCAACGCAUACCAUUGCAACACCUCCCAGACUGCCAAUACCCAUCACCAACCCACCCCAAAAAUUCUACCCAACAAACGCAGUUCCAAAUCCGAAUGGAGAGAGAGAGGGAGAGAGAGAGAGAGAGAGAUGCAGAAGGAGGUUGACUCGUCGGGAGUGGCAAGAGUUGGCGUUUUGGGAUGAUCGGAGAAACAAAUUGAGGAGGAUGUAGAGGGAGAGAAUAGAGGGUUCUAGUGAAACCGUGGGCUUCCAGACUUACCUUCUUUUUUUUAAUAAAAUUAUUAUUUUUAUUAUUUUAUAAUAAAAAUUAAUAAAAUUGACUAGGUAAUUUUUUAUUAGGAAUAGAAAUGCAUUUGGUCUAUACAUUGGAAUCUAUCACUAUUCACUAUUCACUUAGUGGAUUAAAUAGGCUGAGUGCUGACGCAUUUUUUUAGGGAUGGACUUGUUCUAACACGCAAUAGAUUAGCUAAUAUGCAUGCUUUUUUAACCAGCCAAGAGGAACUUUGGAUAUUUUACUCCAAAUAAUUGAAAGGGGAUUGGAUAAAUUUGAUGGGUUUUUAUUAUUUCUUAAAUAUCUGUGGUAUGUGAGAAUUCAAGAAUUGUUCUUUUUUAUUAGAAGUAUAUUUGGGUUUAGUUCUUAAUCUGUGUUCAGUUCUCCAUUGUCAUUUUUUGGUUAAUUAAGGCACUUUGCUCCUUUAUUAAUGCAUUGCAUAUUGUAUGGUUCAAAUGGUUUUUGUUAAGUAUGUCUUGAAUUGAUUUUGUUACUGCUACUGCUUCCAUCAUACUAGUAAUUAGAAAUGGGAGACAAACAACAAGAAAUUGGAAAAGUGAAGGCCAAGAGUGAUGAUAGCGCUUGGACUUUGGAAGAGAGCAAAGUGCUGUUACAAUAGCUCGUUGAAGCUACAUUAAGUGGAUGGCGUGAUGCUAAUGGCUUGCUAACCAAAGAUAUUGUGAUGACAAGAAUACUUCCGGCACUUAAUGAAAGACUAAAGUGUAAUAAAACUUAUAAGCAUUGCACAAGUCGAAUGAGAUAUUUUAAGAAAGAAUAUGAAAAGUAUAGUCAGCUUAUGAGAAGCAACUCUGGCUUUGGGUGGGAUGCAAACACAAAGAGAUUUGUUGCUGAUGACGAAGUUUGGGAAGAAUACUUUAGAGCCCACCCAGACCAAAGAAGCAUUCGUAAAAAAUCUUGUGAUGACUUUGAAGAUUUGCAAAUAGUACUUGGGGAUGCAACUGCUACUGGAAAACACUCAUUGGGAUUGGGUGAGGAAACUGAUGCAAGAACUUUUGUAGUGGAAGAUAGACAAGGUGGAAUAGAGGAAGAUGAAUAGGUUGGAAUAGAGAACUUGUUUUACGAUGAGGAAAAUGGAGGCUUUGUACUAAAUCAAAACCAAGCAUCACACCAAACUUCAUCAUUUGAUCAAUUAUCCUCAUUCUUACCCACUCAGGCAACUAGCUCAAGGAUUCCCCCAUCAAUCGAAACAGAACCCAAUACCAAGGGAAUACUAGAUCAUCUGAGACCACUAAUCAAGCUAGAAUUAGGAAAAAUAUUUCACUUACUCUCGGUUCAAUUGCCACCGACUUCCGAGGAGUUCAUAGUCUGUUGGAGAAAAGGGAUAAGGAUAGAGAAAGACAAAAUUCUAUAUGGGAUGCCAUCAAGGAAACCCCAAAUUUGGAUGAACCUGCUCGCUAUUAACCGGUCGCUUUGCUCGAUACUAAAACCAGAAAGGAUGCAUUUAUGAAGAUGUCAUCGGAAGAGCGGUCAAAUUGGAUAUGCUAUAAUUUGAAAUGAUAUGUGAUUGGACUCAUGAUACAUUAGUUUUUAUUUGUUUGUUUUAUUUUGGAUUAUGUUUAAUUGGCUUAUUCAUACUUUUUGUUAAUUGGAUUAUGUUGGAUUAUGUUUAAUGAAUGAUGUGUUUAAUUUAAUUAAUGAUAUUAUGUGAGAAUGUAGGAUUUAGCUCUGUUGAA